This 372-nucleotide ribosomal RNA is filed under the name Escherichia coli. Its description in RNAcentral is "bacterial SSU rRNA". It matches the Rfam family "Bacterial small subunit ribosomal RNA", at positions 1 to 369 of the family's 1533-position model. Lineage: Bacteria; Pseudomonadati; Pseudomonadota; Gammaproteobacteria; Enterobacterales; Enterobacteriaceae. The record is from RNAcentral.
AAAUUGAAGAGUUUGAUCAUGGCUCAGAUUGAACGCUGGCGGCAGGCCUAACACAUGCAAGUCGAACGGUAACAGGAAUAAGCUUGCUUAUUUGCUGACGAGUGGCGGACGGGUGAGUAAUGUCUGGGAAACUGCCUGAUGGAGGGGGAUAACUACUGGAAACGGUAGCUAAUACCGCAUAACGUCGCAAGACCAAAGAGGGGGACCUUCGGGCCUCUUGCCAUCGGAUGUGCCCAGAUGGGAUUAGCUAGUAGGUGGGGUAACGGCUCACCUAGGCGACGAUCCCUAGCUGGUCUGAGAGGAUGACCAGCCACACUGGAACUGAGACACGGUCCAGACUCCUACGGGAGGCAGCAGUGGGGAAUAUUGCAC